This 466-nucleotide ribosomal RNA is filed under the name uncultured bacterium. RNAcentral's name for it is "bacterial SSU rRNA". It matches the Rfam family "Bacterial small subunit ribosomal RNA", at positions 329 to 792 of the family's 1533-position model. The record is from RNAcentral.
UACCAGACUCCUACGGGAGGCAGCAGUGAGGAAUAUUGGUCAAUGGGCGCGAGCCUGAACCAGCCAAGUCGCGUGAGGGAGGACGGCCCUACGGGUUGUAAACCUCUUUUGCCGGGGAGCAACGGGCGUCACGUGUGGCGCCACUGAGAGUACCCGGAGAAAAAGCAUCGGCUAACUCCGUGCCAGCAGCCGCGGUAAUACGUAGGGGGCGAGCGUUAUCCGGAUUCAUUGGGCGUAAAGCGCGCGUAGGGGGCCUGUUAGGUCGGGGGUCAAAUACCGGGGCUCAACCCCGGUCCGCCCCCGAUACCGGCAGGCUUGAGUCUGGUAGGGGAAGGCGGAAUUCCCAGUGUAGCGGUGGAAUGCGCAGAUAUUGGGAAGAACACCGGCGGCGAAGGCGGCCUUCUGGGCCACGACUGACGCUGAGGCGCGAAAGCUAGGGGAGCGAACAGGAUUAGAUACCCGAGUA